This 3195-nucleotide ribosomal RNA is filed under the name Triticum aestivum (bread wheat). Its description in RNAcentral is "partial small subunit ribosomal RNA". Lineage: Eukaryota; Viridiplantae; Streptophyta; Magnoliopsida; Poales; Poaceae. The record is from RNAcentral.
AUGGCGGGGGUUCUGGAUGCUUUGGCAUCCUACGUGACUAGCAUGCUUGCCGAGAUGGCCAAAGAGGAGGUGGCCAUGCUAAUCGGCGUGUCCAAUGGGAUCAAAGACCUGAGCAUCAAGCUUGGGGACCUCAAGAGUUUCCUUGCUGAUGCUGAUAAGAGGAACAUCACCGAAGAGAGUGUGCGGGGAUGGGUGGGAGAACUGAAGCGUGCCAUGUACCUGGCCACCGACAUCGUCGACCUAUGUCAGCUCAAGGCCAUGGAGCAGGGUCCAUCCAAGGACAUGGGAUGCCUUAACCCACUCCUCUUCUGCAUGCGAAACCCCCUCCACUCCCAUGACAUCGGCACCCGCAUCAAGGCAUUGAACAAGGAGAUGGAUAGCAUCUGCAAGCGGGGCAAGAAAUUUAAAUUUGCCAACCUAGAAGCCUACCAAGACUUGAACAUGACUCGAUCUCUUGCCACUGACCGCAAAACAGAUUCAUUGAUGGAGCGGUCAGGUGUUGUUGGCGAGAAGAUUGAGGAGGACACAAGAGCACUCGUGGAGUUGCUCACAAGUGAGGCGGGCAGCGACAAGACUGGUUACCUCACCGUGGUCGCCAUUGUUGGUGUCGGAGGGAUUGGUAAGACUACCCUUGGCAAGAAGGUCUUCAAUGACGGGGCUAUCAAAGGCAAGUUCACCAAGAAGAUAUGGCUUAGCAUCACACAAGAUUUCACUGAUGUUGAGCUAUUAAGUACAGCCAUUACUGCCGCUGGGGGAGACCAACCUGGAGGGGGUGGGACUCAAGAUAGGGCCCUACUUGUUGAUGCUCUCAAGAACGCCAUCGAGGACAAGAAGUUCUUUCUUGUGCUCGAUGAUAUGUGGGGAGCUGAUGCAUGGAGCAAACUGCUCAUGACUCCCUUUGGCUAUGGUGGCCCGGGCAGCCGAGUCCUCAUCACCACAAGAAGUGAAACUGUUGCGAGAAACAUGAAAGCUGCACACUGCCACCACGUUGACAAGUUAGGGCGCGAAGAUGCAUGGUCACUGCUCAAGAAUCAGGUACUCAGUACAGAGGAGAAUGGACUUGAGGUUGAUGUGCUAAAGGAAAUUGGGUUGCAAAUUGUAGAAAAAUGUGAUGGUUUACCACUCGCUAUAAAAGUAAUGUGGGGGCUUCUAUGCAGCAAGGAGAAAUCACGGUUUGCAUGGGAAGAUGUCCUGAAUGAUGACAUAUGGUCAGUAUCUCCAAUGUCAGAUGAACUAAACUAUGCAAUUUAUCUUAGCUACAAGGACUUGCCCUCUUGCUUAAAACAAUGCUUCCUGCACUUCUCCCUUAAACCCAAAAAGUCUGUGCUAAAUGUUCGUAAAAUUGUGUCCAUGUGGAUUUGUGAAGGAUUGCUUCAAGGAGGCUCAACUAGUUUGGAAGAAGAAGGGAAAAGGAACUAUAAAGAGCUAAUAUUAAGGAACCUUAUAGAGAUAGAUCCAUCAUUUCCUAGCCAACUUAUUUGCAACAUGCAUGAUGUUAUUCGCUCAUUUGCUCAAUUUGUGGCUAGGGAUGAAACACUAGUAGGUCACAAUGGAGAUACUGCUAGAGAAAACCUUAAAUCAUCCAAUUUUCUUAGACUGUCUAUAGAAACCAAAGGUGUGGGAAUAGAUGAAUUUGAGUGGAGAUAUUUAAGAGAGCAGAAAUUGCUUAGGACACUGAUAUUAACUGGAAACCUCAAAAUUCAGCGUGGGGACUCGUUGAUUAACUUCCAAAGUCUACGUCUUCUGCAUAUAGAAUCUGCAAAUAUUGCUGCACUGGUUGAAUGUAUGUACCAACUCAAGCACUUGAGAUAUUUGUCAUUAAAGAGGACUGAUAUUUGUAGACUACCAGAGAACAUCCAUGAGAUGAAAUUCCUACAGCAUAUUGACCUUGAAUAUUGUGAAAGUUUCAUGAAAAUUCCUGAUAGUAUUAUCAAGCUGCAAGGGUUGAGAUAUCUUGAUAUGGAUGACACAUGUGUAAGUAGUAUUCCUAGGGGUUUCCGAGCUCUUACAAAUUUGAGGGUACUAUGUGGGUUUCCAGCCUAUACUGAUGGUGACUGGUGUAGUUUGGAAGAGUUGGGGUCUCUUUCCCAGCUCAAUGAACUUUCACUAGGGAGCCUAGAAAAUGUAUCUAGUGCCUUGUUGGCUGAAAAGGCAAGGGUAAAUGCAAAGAAAAAACUUACCGUACUUGCUUUAAAAUGUGGUGGUAGAGUGGGACAUGGGUUGGUCCAAGGAGAAGUCUCUGAGUCUAAGGAGGAGGAGCAAAUAAUUGAGGCGGUGUUUGAUGUGCUCUGUCCUCAGCCUUGCAUAGAACAAAUCAACAUCGAUAGAUAUUUUGGUCGCCGGCUCCCAGGCUGGAUGACGUCCACAGUUAUGGUGCCUCUCGAGAGCUUGAAGAUUCUUGUCCUCAAACACCUGCCCUGCUGCACCCAACUCCCAGAUGGCUUGUGCAGGCUCCCGUAUUUGGAGUGGAUAAAAGUGAUGAAUGCUCCAGUAAUCAAGUGUAUUGGUCCUGAAUUCGUUCAACAGUACAAUCAGCUGCACCGUCCUUCAUCUCAGUUGGCUGCUACGUUUCCCAAACUCCAGAAGUUGCAUUUUGAUGGAAUGGAUGAGUGGGAGGAGUGGGUUUGGGAGACGGAAGUGAAAGCUAUGCCCUUAUUGGAGGUACUUCGCAUCAGUGAUUGCAAAUUGGGCCGUAUGCCUCCAGGACUUAUGUCUCAUGCGAUGGCGUUGAAGAAGCUAAUACUAUGGGACGUCCAAGGUCUCCACUCUCUAGAGAACUUUGUUUCUGUAGUUGAGCUCGACCUGUGUUACAUACGCGAACUGGCCAUGAUCUCCAAUAUUCCAAAAUUACAAAAGCUUACAAUCAAGUACUGCCCAAAGCUGGAGAUGCUGCAGGAGAUGGCUGCACUCCGGAGACUCGAGCUGAGCAUUUUCGACAGGGAAAAUCAACUUCCAGUCUACCUGCAAACUGUGAAGCCUAGUCAUUUGCUGCUGACCUGCAACCUAGCAGUACUCACUUCCAUGGCUGAGGGUGAAUCUAGCUCCGAGUGGGACAAGUUCAGUCAUAUCAAGCACGUUGAGGCUUACGCAGAGGAUGGAGAAGAUGAGAAGAAAUGGCACGUGUUCUACACAUCUGAAUCCUGCAACAUAGAGACAAAUAUUCAUCAGGAUCGAUUGGUCGAAGAAGAGGAGUAG